RNAcentral lists this ribosomal RNA (253 nucleotides) under uncultured bacterium. RNAcentral's name for it is "partial 16S ribosomal RNA". It matches the Rfam family "Archaeal small subunit ribosomal RNA", at positions 474 to 727 of the family's 1478-position model. The record is from RNAcentral.
AACCAGCACCCCGAGUGGUCGGGACGAUUAUUGGGCCUAAAGCAUCCGUAGCCGGUUUUACAAGUCCUCCGUUAAAUCCAGCUGCUUAACAGAUGGGCUGCGGAGGAUACUAUAAGACUAGGAGGCAGGAGAGGCAAGCGGUACUCAGUGGGUAGGGGUAAGAUCCGUUGAUCCAUUGAAGACCACCAGUGGCGAAGGCGGCUUGCCAGAAUGCGCUCGACGGUGAGGGAUGAAAGCUGGGGGAGCAAACCGG